This 419-nucleotide ribosomal RNA is filed under the name uncultured bacterium. Its description in RNAcentral is "bacterial SSU rRNA". It matches the Rfam family "Bacterial small subunit ribosomal RNA", at positions 358 to 774 of the family's 1533-position model. The record is from RNAcentral.
GGAAUAUUGGUCAAUGGGCGGAAGCCUGAACCAGCCAUGCCGCGUGCAGGAAUGAGGCCCUAUGGGUCGUAAACUGCUUUUGCUGCGGAGCAAUAAGUGCUACGUGUAGCGCGAUGAGAGUACGCAGCGAAUAAGCAUCGGCUAACUCCGUGCCAGCAGCCGCGGUAAUACGGAGGAUGCGAGCGUUAUCCGGAUUUAUUGGGUUUAAAGGGUGCGUAGGCUGUUCGUCAAGUCAGUGGUGAAAUGCCGGGGCUCAACCCCGGAGCUGCCAUUGAUACUGUCGGGCUUGAAUCCUGCUGCCGUGGGAGGAAUGAGUAGUGUAGCGGUGAAAUGCAUAGAUAUUACUCAGAACACCGAUUGCGAAGGCAUCUCACGAAACAGGCAUUGACGCUGAGGCACGAAAGCGUGGGGAUCAAACA